This 490-nucleotide ribosomal RNA is filed under the name uncultured bacterium. Its description in RNAcentral is "partial 16S ribosomal RNA". It matches the Rfam family "Bacterial small subunit ribosomal RNA", at positions 28 to 507 of the family's 1533-position model. The record is from RNAcentral.
GAUGAACGCUAGCGGCAGGCCUAAUACAUGCAAGUCGAACGGGAUCCAGAUCAAAGCUUGCUUUGGUCUGGUGAGAGUGGCGCACGGGUGCGUAACGCGUGAGCAACCUACCCUUGUCAGGGGGAUAGCCCGGCGAAAGUCGGAUUAAUACCGCAUGACAUCAUUGAGAGGCAUCUUUCGAUGAUCAAAGAUUUAUCGGACAAGGAUGGGCUCGCGUGACAUUAGCUAGUUGGUAAGGUAACGGCUUACCAAGGCUGCGAUGUCUAGGGGCUCUGAGAGGAGAAUCCCCCACACUGGUACUGAGCCACGGACCAGACUCCUACGGGAGGCAGCAGUAAGGAAUAUUGGUCAAUGGACGGAAGUCUGAACCAGCCAUGCCGCGUGCAGGAGGACGGCCCUAUGGGUUGUAAACUGCUUUUAUACGGGAACAAACGUCGGUACGUGUACCGGUCUGAGUGUACCGUAAGAAUAAGGAUCGGCUAACUCCGUG